UAAUCUGAAAUUAAUCAGCACUUAAAUCCAAUCUUUCAUAUGCUCCAUAGAUCAUAGAUCAAAAACUGUUCAUCUCCGAGAUCGAACAUGAACCUCGUGUACUGCUAGCUAGACAUAGUCAACUCUUCAAUUCCGUUUGAUCCUUAACUUAAUUCUCAAUCAAGUUAGCUUAUAUAUUUAAUCAAGUCUAGUACUUCCAUAUUGGACAUAUAAACAUAGGCCAAUUCUUUCCUACUUUGUCUGACUUGUGUGCAUGACUCCAUAGGUUCAAACACUAAGCUGGUAGCACAAGAACCAAUUCCUGCACUGAUCGAGAUACCAUCUAGCAAUGGUUUCCGAUAUCCAGAUAGAUCGAAUUAUCGCAAAAAAAUAUUUCAAAACCCAUACACAUGGUUACCGCAUAAUUCAUCUUUUUGAUUCUGAAUGCUUUAGGAUGGUCUCAGGUUAACUGUCAAUCGAGAUUGCUUCAUCCGCAUUGUAUUUCAACCUUUCAAAUCCAUCUCAUGGAUUACCCUGAUCAAAAUUUUGCUNNNNNNNNNNNNNNNNNNNNAUCCAGAUAGAUCGAAUUAUCGCAAAAAAAUAUUUCAAAACCCAUACACAUGGUUACCGCAUAAUUCAUCUUUUUGAUUCUGAAUGCUUUAGGAUGGUCUCAGGUUAACUGUCAAUCGAGAUUGCUUCAUCCGCAUUGUAUUUCAACCUUUCAAAUCCAUCUCAUGGAUUACCC
This 724-nucleotide long non-coding RNA is filed under the name Elaeis guineensis (African oil palm). RNAcentral's name for it is "long non-coding RNA (EGUI_LNC044012)". The record is from RNAcentral. Lineage: Eukaryota; Viridiplantae; Streptophyta; Magnoliopsida; Arecales; Arecaceae.